GAUGAAGAACGCAGCGAAAUGCGAUAAGUAGUGUGAAUUGCAGAAUUCAGUGAAUCAUCGAAUCUUUGAACGCACAUUGCGCCCUCUGGUAUUCCGGAGGGCAUGCCUGUUCGAGCGUCAUUAUAACCACUCAAGCUCUCGCUUGGUAUUGGGGUUCGCGGUUCCGCGGCCCCUAAAAUCAGUGGCGGUGCCUGUCGGCUCUACGCGUAGUAAUACUCCUCGCGAUUGAGUCCGGUAGGUCUACUUGCCAGCAACCCCCAAUUUUUACAGGUUGACCUCGGAUCAGGUAGGGAUACCCGCUGAACUUAAGCAUAUCAAUAAGCGGAGGA
This 329-nucleotide unclassified non-coding RNA is filed under the name soil metagenome. RNAcentral describes it as "partial contains 5.8S ribosomal RNA, internal transcribed spacer 2, and large subunit ribosomal RNA". The stretch from base 1 to 120 matches the Rfam family "5.8S ribosomal RNA", at positions 35 to 154 of the family's 154-position model. The record is from RNAcentral.